Molecule: ribosomal RNA, 274 nt
Filed under: uncultured bacterium
Lineage: Bacteria
Description: partial 16S ribosomal RNA
Rfam family: Archaeal small subunit ribosomal RNA
Source: RNAcentral
AAACCAGCACCUCAAGUGGUCAGGAGGAUUAUUGGGCCUAAAGCAUCCGUAGCCUGUUCUAUAAGUUUCCGGUUAAAUCCACUAGCUCAACUAGUGGGCUGCCGAAAAUACUGUAGAACUAGGGAGUGGGAGAGGUAGACGGUAUUCGGUAGGAAGGGGUAAAAUCCUUUGAUCUAUUGAGGACCACCUGUGGCGAAGGCGGUCUACCAGAACACGUCCGACGGUGAGGGAUGAAAGCUGGGGGAGCAAACCGGAUUAGAUACCCGAGUAGUCC